Molecule: transfer RNA, 75 nt
Filed under: Kiritimatiellales bacterium
Lineage: Bacteria; Pseudomonadati; Kiritimatiellota; Kiritimatiellia; Kiritimatiellales
Also listed under: 1 other name
Description: tRNA-Arg
Rfam family: tRNA
About the family: Transfer RNA (tRNA) molecules are approximately 80 nucleotides in length. Their secondary structure includes four short double-helical elements and three loops (D, anti-codon, and T loops). Further hydrogen bonds mediate the characteristic L-shaped molecular structure. tRNAs have two regions of fundamental functional importance: the anti-codon, which is responsible for specific mRNA codon recognition, and the 3' end, to which the tRNAs corresponding amino acid is attached (by aminoacyl-tRNA synthetases). tRNAs cope with the degeneracy of the genetic code in two manners: having more than one tRNA (with a specific anti-codon) for a particular amino acid; and 'wobble' base-pairing, i.e. permitting non-standard base-pairing at the 3rd anti-codon position.
Source: RNAcentral
GCGCCUGUAGUUCAAUGGAUAGAAUAGUGGCCUCCGAAGCCAUAGAUCUGGGUUCGACUCCCGGCGGGCGCACCA